This 289-nucleotide ribosomal RNA is filed under the name uncultured bacterium. RNAcentral describes it as "partial 16S ribosomal RNA". It matches the Rfam family "Bacterial small subunit ribosomal RNA", at positions 773 to 1060 of the family's 1533-position model. The record is from RNAcentral.
GUGGAUUAGAUACCCCGGUAGUCCACGCCCUAAACGAUGUCGACUAGUUGUCGGGGGGUAACACCCUUGGUAACGCGGCUAACGCGUGAAGUCGACCGCCUGGGGAGUACGGUCGCAAGAUUAAAACUCAAAGGAAUUGACGGGGACCCGCACAAGCGGUGGAUGAUGUGGAUUAAUUCGAUGCAACGCGAAAAACCUUACCUACCCUUGACAUGCCAGGAAUCCUGCAGAGAUGCGGGAGUGCCCGCAAGGGAACCUGGACACAGGUGCUGCACGGCCGUCGACAGCU